UUUUUUUUCCCCUGACUCUGGAGUUUAGCAAUCUGAAAUGGGCGCGCCUAGAAGCGGAGUGAGAAGUCUAAAUUGAGACGGGACUUGGUGGCUCCACCCCUCCCACCGGCAUCACAAUGGCGCUUCUGGCUGCUCCGGCAGGCAUCGCAAACCCAGGGGGGGUCCGAAAGCGGUCUCUAAAUGCGGUCAGCCCCACCUGGCCCCCAGCAUCCCUGCUCCCCGCGGAGAACACAGGGCGCCCGCUUCCCCAGCCCACCGGGUUCCUCGGGCUGUUUACACUAGCGCUCUACCAACGAUGCCCAGAGUGAAUAAACAGGCCCAUCCUUGUGAGGAGAAAUUCAGAGCAGCUAUGUGAACUGGAAAAAAAUCAAUCAUUGUCCCCCAGACUAUGAGUCAUAAUUUUAGAGAAAUGGCACACACACACGCAUAUACACACACACACGAGGCCAAACCAAGGUACUUUCUGGAUAGUUUAAUGUAUGUGAAUGAAACAGGAGGGAAACGAUUUUUACUUAAAACACAAAUUAAGGUAUUUUGUUUGCCUGUCCAGGAAAAUGUUGUGGUUUCUCAGUUUAAAAAAAAAAAAAA
Molecule: long non-coding RNA, 588 nt
Filed under: Lynx pardinus (Iberian lynx)
Lineage: Eukaryota; Metazoa; Chordata; Mammalia; Carnivora; Felidae
Source: RNAcentral